This is a non-coding RNA of Triticum aestivum (bread wheat), 135 nucleotides long. The record is from Rfam. NCBI's taxonomy places the organism in Eukaryota, Viridiplantae, Streptophyta, Magnoliopsida, Poales, Poaceae.
UUUCUACUCCCUCCGUCCGAAAGUACUUGUCAUCAAAAUGGAUAAAAAGAGAUGUAUCUAAAACUAAAAUACGUCUAGAUACAUUUCCUUUUAUCCAUUUCGAUGAUAGGUAUUUCCGGUCGGAGGGAGUAUUUG